GCGUAACGACGGGCCGGCAGCCGGGGGAGUUGGUGGGGGGGAAGGGUUGUCCGGAUUGAUGGGGCGGGAGGCGCGGGCAGGGGUGGCUGGAAGUCGGCGGUGAAACCGCCCGGGUGAGCGGGGAGGGGGCGGUGGCGACUGCCGGACUGGAGGGACCGAGAGGCCGGUGGAAUUCCCGGUGUAGUGGUGAAAUGCGUAGAGAUCGGGAGGAACACCAGUGGCGAAGGCGGCCGGCUGGGGGUGCCCUGACGCUGAGGCGCGAAAGCGUGGGGAGCGAACCGGAUUAGAUACCCUGUAGUC
RNAcentral lists this ribosomal RNA (300 nucleotides) under uncultured Pyrobaculum sp. RNAcentral's name for it is "bacterial SSU rRNA". It matches the Rfam family "Bacterial small subunit ribosomal RNA", at positions 495 to 795 of the family's 1533-position model. The record is from RNAcentral. Lineage: Archaea; Thermoproteati; Thermoproteota; Thermoprotei; Thermoproteales; Thermoproteaceae.